GACAAGAGGGCCAGCCAGACGCCGUAAUUGGUAACUUGCGGGUUGAAAAACAGUCCGCCGUUGGCAUUGGGGCUCGCUGUCCGCACUUUCCAGGUUAUGACCACCUGUCUGUCGGCUGUUUCAGGGUCCACUGGCAGCAAUACGAUAAUGUAUUUGCUUACCCAUGCCAGUAUCAAAUCGGCUGUAUCCGUUUGCCCCGAUUGGAUGCUGCCGCUGAUGCAGAUGACGCCAGCAGAACUCCUCCUAUCGAUAGCACCCUCCAGUUCCGCGACAAGUGCGGAGGACACACGAGGGAAAAUACGGUCGGCGAGGAUUCCCGAGUCCCCAAAGACAGGUAGCUCGAAACUAAUGUUGCUUUGAAAAUGCUGCGACAAGUUCGCCAAAAGCGCGUUUGUGAAGUGCCCGCGCACACCUCCCCAGACAGGCGGCUGUAAGCACUUAGGGUUCCGAAAGUCGUGAUCCUUUAAACCUAGCUGGGUGCCUGUUCCAUGGACAUACAACGGCACCUUCGCAUUUCCCAGACCAUCACAUUGGUUGGUCCACGCACUGUAUCCAGCCUCCAAUAAAGAGCCACCGCCAAGUACCGCAAAGCCGUAAGUGGAAAAGUUCAGUUGCUGGGAUUGACCUGAAACGAAGGCUGGUUGGUACUCUAAACUCGCACGUUGGUACAUGCCCUGCUCCAGCAGAACGUCGCGUAGCAAGUGUCCGAAAAUGUCGAGCACCAGUUCAUCGCCAAGGUUUGCGUGCCCGAUCCAACCAACGUAGAGUCCUCGAAGACGUCCCAUGCCUGAAUAACCACAUAGUGAGUUGGGUACAGUCGCGAUAAUAAGUGUCGUCAACCGCAGAAGCAGAAACUUAGUGUUUUGCAUAGUGCGCACUGCUCAUGCGUCAACAGAGCUACAUAUGUACGCUCCCAUUUGUCAUAGCGUUAAUUUAUUGUGUGGUUUAAUGCGAGCUUGCGUUGUGGAAGCCGGCUUAGUUGCCGUACAGCAUCUGGGCAGUGCGUACUGGUGCUAGGCUUUGCACUUGGCCCUUGAGUGGCACUUGCAUGACACUGACAUUGACACUGAACUGCGGUCGCGCAUUUUGCCCUCAGGUCAGCGUACAUCAACAAUAUCAUAGGACAACUGAAAACCUGGAGAAUGAGGGAGGCCCCGGCCGUCUUCCGUGCAGCCAGCCUUGCCUUUAUAUAUGUUGUUUAUAUUAAUCUGUUUUGGGGCGAAGCGCCAUACGGGGGGCCGAGGCCCCUGGGUUCACUGCUGCAGUCAGUCAGUCAGUCAGUCAGUCAGUCAGUCAUGGUGUAACAUUUUAUUAUAUUUCGCCCCGAUUAAAAUUG
This 1336-nucleotide long non-coding RNA is filed under the name Volvox carteri. RNAcentral's name for it is "long non-coding RNA (VCAR_LNC000330)". The record is from RNAcentral. Lineage: Eukaryota; Viridiplantae; Chlorophyta; Chlorophyceae; Chlamydomonadales; Volvocaceae.